GCGGUAGCCUAGUGGUCAAGGUUUCGGAUUCGUGAUUCAAUCGCGAGUUCGAUCCUUGCCCACCA
Nephila pilipes (giant wood spider) is the source of this 65-nucleotide non-coding RNA. Lineage: Eukaryota; Metazoa; Arthropoda; Arachnida; Araneae; Nephilidae. The record is from the annotation of a GenBank genome assembly.